UGUUUAUCGACUGCCCUAUCUCC
This 23-nucleotide non-coding RNA is filed under the name Rattus norvegicus (Norway rat). The record is from RNAcentral. Lineage: Eukaryota; Metazoa; Chordata; Mammalia; Rodentia; Muridae.